UAUGGAAGGCAGCAGUGGGGAAUAUUGCACAAUGGGCGCAAGCCUGAUGCAGCCAUGCCGCGUGUAUGAAGAAGGCCUUCGGGUUGUAAAGUACUUUCAGUCGUGAGGAAGGUGUUAAGGUUAAUAACCUUAGCAAUUGACGUUAGCGACAGAAGAAGCACCGGCUAACUCCGUGCCAGCAGCCGCGGUAAUACGGAGGGUGCGAGCGUUAAUCGGAAUUACUGGGCGUAAAGGGCACGCAGGCGGUUAAUUAAGUUGGAUGUGAAAUCCCCGGGCUUAACCUGGGAAUGGCAUUCAAGACUGGUUAGCUAGAGUCUUGUAGAGGGGGUAGAAUUCCAUGUGUAGCGGUGAAAUGCGUAGAGAUGUGGAGGAAUACCGGUGGCGAAGGCGGCCCCUGGGACAAAGGACUGACGCUCAUGUGCGAAAGCGUGGGGAGCAAACAGGGAUUAGAUACC
This 455-nucleotide ribosomal RNA is filed under the name uncultured bacterium. Its description in RNAcentral is "bacterial SSU rRNA". It matches the Rfam family "Bacterial small subunit ribosomal RNA", at positions 340 to 786 of the family's 1533-position model. The record is from RNAcentral.